RNAcentral lists this ribosomal RNA (468 nucleotides) under uncultured bacterium. Its description in RNAcentral is "partial 16S ribosomal RNA". It matches the Rfam family "Bacterial small subunit ribosomal RNA", at positions 28 to 507 of the family's 1533-position model. The record is from RNAcentral.
GACGAACGCUGGCGGCGCGCCUAACACAUGCAAGUCGAACGGAAAGGCGCUGCUUUCGUGGGCUGCUCGAGGCGCGAUCGGGUGUGAAACACGUGAGUAACAUGCCCUAGACUGUGGGAUAACUUCAGGAAACUGGGGCAAAUAGCGGAUAGGAGUACCUGCUGGAGGGUGGGGGGGGGAAAGUUUCGGCGGUUGGUGAUGGACUCGCGGCUUAUCGGCUUGUUGGUGGGGUAGGGGAUUACCAAGGCUGUGACGGGAAGCCGGCCUGGGAGGUUGACCGGCCACAUUGGUACUGAGAGAGGGAGCAGUCUCCUAUGGGACGCAGCGGUGGGGAGUAUUGCGGAGUGGCCGGAAGCCUGUGGCGGCAACGCCGAGUGCGGAAUAACGGCCUUCGGGUGAUAAACCACUUUCGCCUGUGACGAAGCGGGAGUGACGGUAGUGGGUAAAGAAGCACCGGCUAACUACGUG